Long non-coding RNA from Choloepus didactylus (southern two-toed sloth), 1174 nucleotides. RefSeq lists it as uncharacterized. NCBI's taxonomy places the organism in Eukaryota, Metazoa, Chordata, Mammalia, Pilosa, Megalonychidae. The record is from RefSeq and is a predicted model, not a curated record. The transcript has 3 exons.
CACUGUGAGGGGUGUCUGAGCCCCAGGAGAGCAGGUCCUGCCGGCCCAUGCUCUCGCUUCCACACACAGUUCUCCCACACCAAUUCCAGCAGCUGGGCCAUUCACCAGACGCAAGGGAACCAGGCCCCUUUCAAAGUCGACAGCAUUACACUUGCCACAGGAGAAAGGGACAAACGAGACUGAAGACAGAGCUUUCCACAGAAGAAAAAGAUGCAGAAUGCAUGCUAAGCCAAAAAAGCAAAUGCCCGGAAUAACUGUACCCAGAGCUGAGCAGGGGUCACGUCUAUAACCCCCAGCUCCUGAAAUAGCUGAAUUCAUCACCUCUUCAUGGGGGGAGCCUUGGUGAAAGCGAAGGCUACAAGUCUCCACAGAGGGCUUUCUUGCUCCCUCUCCUACCCUCUUGGCCAGUCACACAUGUUGACCAUGGAGGCCCUGUUCUGGUCACACACAAGUGACAAGGGAGUACUUGGCUUCAUCGAAAUGAAUGUGACCAGACACUGCCAAGAAUGAGGUACCCAGGCUUUGCUGCUGCUGAGAGGAGGGAUUCCCUGGCUCGAAAAGAAAGCCCAGAAUGAAAAGGCAGCAGAGCCAAGGGUCACAGAGGGCCAUAUUUGUGGUGAUGAACAGUCCAGGCUGUGGAGCUAGGUCUGUUUGGGUUCUAAUCUAGUUCCAUCACUUAAGUAAGUGGGCAAGUUACUUAACAUCACUGUGCUUCAGUCCUCACAUAUCAAACGUAGUAAAAAUAAAUGAGGUAAUCCAUGAUGGUUCGUAUUCUCCACUGGUCCUUCCAUUCUCCAUCCAUUCCUCCAUACUGUUCCCUAAGAGGUUCGCCUCAAAGACUGUAUCACCCUUACCUUCUGACUUAGGGUUAGAUUCAGCCAAGGACAGAUACUGGCAGAAGAUUGACAGCUCAGACGAGCAAGAGCCCAGGGUAUUUAUUCUCCUGGGUCACUCUUUCCUCAGAGGCUGCACACCUCCACCUACAUGCACAGUUCCAGCCAGACAGCCUCUCCCAUGGCUACUGUCCCUAAGAGUUCCACUAACUCUGCUCUGCCCCUCACCCCUUCAGACCUCAUCCCUCGCUGGGCACAUUAACCCUGUCCACUCUUCUGCAUGCAGUCCCUUUGUCAAAUUCUCUCCAUUUUACCAUUUGAGUGUCCCAUGUAUUUCCUUU